Molecule: ribosomal RNA, 437 nt
Filed under: uncultured bacterium
Lineage: Bacteria
Description: bacterial SSU rRNA
Rfam family: Bacterial small subunit ribosomal RNA
Source: RNAcentral
UGAGGAAUAUUGGUCAAUGGGCAAAAGCCUGAACCAGCCAAGUCGCGUGAGGGAAGACGGUCCUAUGGAUUGUAAACCUCUUUUGUCGGGGAGCAACGACGCCACGUGUGGCGGAAGGGAGAGUACCCGAAGAAAAAGCAUCGGCUAACUCCGUGCCAGCAGCCGCGGUAAUACGGAGGAUGCGAGCGUUAUCCGGAUUUAUUGGGUUUAAAGGGUGCGUAGGCGGAACGUUAAGUCAGCGGUAAAAUUGCGGGCUGCAACCCUCGUACCGCCGUUGAAACUGGUCGAUUCUAGAGUGGGCGGAGAAGUAUGCGGAAUGCGAGGUGUAGCGGUGAAAUGCAUAGAUAUCACGCAGAACUCCGAUUGCGAAGGCAGCAUACCGGCGCCCAACUGACGCUGAGGCACGAAAGCGUGGGGAUCGAACAGGAUUAGAUACC